GAUGAACGCUGGCGGCGUGCCUAAUACACGCAAGUCGAGCGAACAGACGAGGAGCUUGCUCCUCUGACGUUAGCGGCGGACGGGUGAGUAACACGUGGAUAACCUACCUAUAAGACUGGGAUAACUUCGGGAAACCGGAGCUAAUACCGGAUAAUAUAUUGAACCGCAUGGUUCAAUAGUGAAAGACGGUUUUGCUGUCACUUAUAGAUGGAUCCGCGCCGCAUUAGCUAGUUGGUAAGGUAACGGCUUACCAAGGCAACGAUGCGUAGCCGACCUGAGAGGGUGAUCGGCCACACUGGGACUGAGACACGGUCCAGACUCCUACGGGAGGCAGCAGUAGGGAAUCUUCCGAAAUGGGCGAAAGCUUGACGGAGCAACGCCGCGUGAGUGAUGAAGGUCUUCGGAUCGUAAAACUCUGUUAUUAGGGAAGAACAAAUGUGUAAGUAACUAUGCACGUCUUGACGGUACCUAAUCAGAAAGCCACGGCUAACUACGUG
This 497-nucleotide ribosomal RNA is filed under the name uncultured bacterium. RNAcentral's name for it is "partial 16S ribosomal RNA". It matches the Rfam family "Bacterial small subunit ribosomal RNA", at positions 28 to 507 of the family's 1533-position model. The record is from RNAcentral.